RNAcentral lists this ribosomal RNA (1525 nucleotides) under Arthrobacter sp. A-1. Its description in RNAcentral is "bacterial SSU rRNA". It matches the Rfam family "Bacterial small subunit ribosomal RNA". Lineage: Bacteria; Bacillati; Actinomycetota; Actinomycetes; Micrococcales; Micrococcaceae. The record is from RNAcentral.
AUUAGAGUUUGAUCCUGGCUCAGGAUGAACGCUGGCGGCGUGCUUAACACAUGCAAGUCGAACGAUGAAGCCCAGCUUGCUGGGUGGAUUAGUGGCGAACGGGUGAGUAACACGUGAGUAACCUGCCCCCGACUCUGGGAUAAGCCCGGGAAACUGGGUCUAAUACCGGAUAUGACCUCGCACCGCAUGGUGCGGGGUGGAAAGAUUUAUCGGUGGGGGAUGGACUCGCGGCCUAUCAGCUUGUUGGUGAGGUAAUGGCUCACCAAGGCGACGACGGGUAGCCGGCCUGAGAGGGUGACCGGCCACACUGGGACUGAGACACGGCCCAGACUCCUACGGGAGGCAGCAGUGGGGAAUAUUGCACAAUGGGCGAAAGCCUGAUGCAGCGACGCCGCGUGAGGGAUGACGGCCUUCGGGUUGUAAACCUCUUUCAGUAGGGAAGAAGCGAAAGUGACGGUACCUGCAGAAGAAGCGCCGGCUAACUACGUGCCAGCAGCCGCGGUAAUACGUAGGGCGCAAGCGUUAUCCGGAUUUAUUGGGCGUAAAGAGCUCGUAGGCGGUUUGUCGCGUCUGCCGUGAAAGUCCGAGGCUCAACCUCGGAUCUGCGGUGGGUACGGGCAGACUAGAGUGAUGUAGGGGAGACUGGAAUUCCUGGUGUAGCGGUGAAAUGCGCAGAUAUCAGGAGGAACACCGAUGGCGAAGGCAGGUCUCUGGGCAUUUACUGACGCUGAGGAGCGAAAGCAUGGGGAGCGAACAGGAUUAGAUACCCUGGUAGUCCAUGCCGUAAACGUUGGGCACUAGGUGUGGGGGACAUUCCACGUUUUCCGCGCCGUAGCUAACGCAUUAAGUGCCCCGCCUGGGGAGUACGGCCGCAAGGCUAAAACUCAAAGGAAUUGACGGGGGCCCGCACAAGCGGCGGAGCAUGCGGAUUAAUUCGAUGCAACGCGAAGAACCUUACCAAGGCUUGACAUGUGCCAGACCGCCUCAGAGAUGGGGUUUCCCUUCGGGGCUGGUUCACAGGUGGUGCAUGGUUGUCGUCAGCUCGUGUCGUGAGAUGUUGGGUUAAGUCCCGCAACGAGCGCAACCCUCGUUCCAUGUUGCCAGCACGUAGUGGUGGGGACUCAUGGGAGACUGCCGGGGUCAACUCGGAGGAAGGUGGGGAUGACGUCAAAUCAUCAUGCCCCUUAUGUCUUGGGCUUCACGCAUGCUACAAUGGCCGGUACAAUGGGUUGCGAUACUGUGAGGUGGAGCUAAUCCCUAAAAGCCGGUCUCAGUUCGGAUUGGGGUCCGCAACUCGACCCCAUGAAGUCGGAGUCGCUAGUAAUCGCAGAUCAGCAACGCUGCGGUGAAUACGUUCCCGGGCCUUGUACACACCGCCCGUCAAGUCACGAAAGUUGGUAACACCCGAAGCCGAUGGCCUAACCACCUUGUGUGGGGGGAGUCGUCGAAGGUGGGACUGGCGAUUGGGACUAAGUCGUAACAAGGUAGCCGUACCGGAAGGUGCGGCUGGAUCACCUCCUUAAUC